Molecule: long non-coding RNA, 510 nt
Organism: Mytilus californianus (California mussel)
Lineage: Eukaryota; Metazoa; Mollusca; Bivalvia; Mytilida; Mytilidae
Exons: 7
Source: RefSeq, a predicted model, not a curated record
UUGGCUUCAUUACAUCCUGUUCAAAAUUUACAAGGGAUAAUUUAGAAGUCUCUAUGUUUUGCUAUGUAGUAAAAAUAUUUACUGGAAAGGCACAAUUUAUUAUUAUGCAGAUACCAAAUCUAAUAGAGGAAGUGGUGCUCGAACAAAUGGAAGUGGGAGAAAAUGGAAAAAAAGACGAUGGGAAACACCACAUGAUAAUGAUGACAAAGAAGAUGAAGAGCAGCAUCCUUUAAAUGAAUAGGGACCACAUGACAAUGAUGACAAAGAAGAUGAAGAGCAGCAUCCUUUAAAUGAAUCGGGACCAGAAUGUCAAAAGAAACUAUUUGAAGAUGAGGACAUGGUUAUAGAUGAUAGGAUGGUAUAGAAGUGGUGAAAAAUACUCAUGCAUUUAAGAUAGGUGAUUUUUUACUAGUUGAAUUCGACCUGGUGAAAAGCAGCAAGAAAAGAAACUACAUAGCAGAGGCAAGUAUUUUUGAGGAUUUGUCCACUUCUACUAAAGAGUUCAUAUUU